GACGAACGCUGGCGGCGUGCUUAACACAUGCAAGUCGAACGGAAAGGCCCUGCUCUUGUGGGGCGCUCGAGUGGCGAAGGGGGGAGUAACACGUGAGUAACCUGCCCCUGAAUGUGGGAUAACAUCAGGAAACUCGGGCGAUUAUCGGAUAGGAUCUCCUGCUGCGUGGGGGGGGUUGGAAAGAUUCGGCCGUUCGGGCUGGACUGGCGGCUUAUCAGCUUGUUGGGCGGGUAGUGGCGUACCAAGGCUUUGACGGGUAGCCGGCCUGAGAGGGUGACCGGCCACCUUGGGACUGCGAUAGGGACCAGAAUCCUACCGGAGGCAGCAGUGGAGAAUAUUGCGCAAUGGGCGGGAGCCUGAUACGGAAGCGCCGCGUGCGGGAUGACGGGCUUCGGGUUGUGAACAGCUUUCGCCUUUGAUGAAGCGUGAGUGACGGUACUGGGUAAAAAAGCCCCGGCUAACUACGUG
This 468-nucleotide ribosomal RNA is filed under the name uncultured bacterium. Its description in RNAcentral is "partial 16S ribosomal RNA". It matches the Rfam family "Bacterial small subunit ribosomal RNA", at positions 28 to 507 of the family's 1533-position model. The record is from RNAcentral.